GCACAGAGGAACUUGUUCCUUGGGUGGCGAGCGGCGGACGGGUGAGUAAUGCCUAGGAAAUUGCCCUGAUGUGGGGGAUAACCAUUGGAAACGAUGGCUAAUACCGCAUGAUGCCUACGGGCCAAAGAGGGGGACCUUCGGGCCUCUCGCGCUCAGGAUAUGCCUAGGUGGGAUUAGCUAAGUUGGUGAGGUAAUGGCUCACCAAGGCGACGAUCCCUAGCUGGUCUGAGAGGAUGAUCAGCCACACUGGAACUGAGACACGGUCCAGACUCCUACGGGAGGCAGCAGUGGGGAAUAUUGCACAAUGGGCGCAAGCCUGAUGCAGCCAUGCCGCGUGUAUGAAGAAGGCCUUCGGGUUGUAAAGUACUUUCAGUCGUGAGGAAGGUGGUGUUGUUAAUAGCAGCAUCAUUUGACGUUAGCGACAGAAGAAGCACCGGCUAACUCCGUGCCAGCAGCCGCGGUAAUACGGAGGGUGCGAGCGUUAAUCGGAAUUACUGGGCGUAAAGCGCAUGCAGGUGGUGGAUUAAGUCAGAUGUGAAAGCCCCGGGGCUCAACCUCGGAAACCCGCAUUUGAAACUUGGUUCACUAGAGUACUGUAGAGGGGGGGGUAA
RNAcentral lists this ribosomal RNA (611 nucleotides) under Vibrio sp. UST050418-228. Its description in RNAcentral is "bacterial SSU rRNA". It matches the Rfam family "Bacterial small subunit ribosomal RNA", at positions 69 to 666 of the family's 1533-position model. The record is from RNAcentral. Lineage: Bacteria; Pseudomonadati; Pseudomonadota; Gammaproteobacteria; Vibrionales; Vibrionaceae.